CCUACGGGCGGCUGCAGUGAGGAAUAUUGGUCAAUGGCCGAGAGGCUGAACCAGCCAAGUCGCGUGAGGGAAGAAUGUCCUAUGGAUUGUAAACCUCUUUUGUCAGGGAGCAAAGUCACCCACGUGUGGGUGUUGGAGCGUAUCUGAAGAAAAAGCAUCGGCUAACACCGUGCCAGCAGCCGCGGUAAUACGGAGGAUGCGAGGGUUAUCCGGAUUUAUUGGGUUAAAAGGGUGGGAAGGGGGGCUAUCAAGUCGGUGGUAAAAUCGUGGAGCUAAACUCCAUCCAGCCGUUGAAACUGAUGAACUUGAGUGGGCGAGAGGUAUGCGGAAUGCGUGGUGUAGCGGUGAAAUGCAUAGAUAUCACGCAGAACACCGAUGGCGAAGGCAGCAUACUGGAGCCCGACUGACGCUGAGGCACGAAAGCGUGGGGAGCGAACAGGAUUAGAUACCCUUGUAGUC
Molecule: ribosomal RNA, 459 nt
Filed under: uncultured bacterium
Lineage: Bacteria
Description: partial 16S ribosomal RNA
Rfam family: Bacterial small subunit ribosomal RNA
Source: RNAcentral